GAAUCGAUCAUACCUUCUCUACACACACUUGUGCACCAACUGUAGGUUAACUCGAAAGAGUAAGACCUAUGUAUUUCUACAUCACACUUUUUAUAUCCGCAUGUCUAUAGAAUGAAUUUUAUAAAUCAUAUACAACUUUCAGCAACGGAUCUCUUGGUUCUCGCAUCGAUGAAGAACGCAGCGAAUUGCGAUAAGUAAUGUGAAUUGCAGAUUUUCAGUGAAUCAUCGAAUCUUUGAACGCACCUUGCGCUCCUUGGUAUUCCGAGGAGCAUGCCUGUUUGAGUGUCAUUCAAAUUCUCAACCAUGUCUUCAUUUAAGACAUUGAUUGGACUUGGAGGUUGCUGGCGGCCUUGAGCUAUCAGCUCUUCUGAAAUCCAUUAGCGAUCGGUUUCCAGUGCAAGUCAAUCUUUCGAUCGACAUGCCAACUAGCCUUUGACGUGAUAAUCAUCCGUCGUAGUGAAUUUUUGGUAUUGCAUCAAUACACUAUCGCUUCUAAUCAGACCGUACUUAGCUACUAGUCGGCCGUAAGGUCAGCGAACGCGGUACAUUAUCAUUAUGACCUGACCUCAAAUCAGGUAG
This 579-nucleotide ribosomal RNA is filed under the name Austroboletus lacunosus. RNAcentral describes it as "eukaryotic LSU rRNA". The stretch from base 134 to 288 matches the Rfam family "5.8S ribosomal RNA". Lineage: Eukaryota; Fungi; Basidiomycota; Agaricomycetes; Boletales; Boletaceae. The record is from RNAcentral.